CAACGUAGGUAAUCUACCUUUGGGUGGGGAAUAACAACCGGAAACGGUUGCUAAUACCGCAUAAUGCAGCGGCACCGCAUGGUGACAGUUGUUAAAGCGGGGGAUCGCAAGACCUCGCGCCUAGAGAGGAGCCUGUGGCGGAUUAGCUAGUUGGCAGGGUAACGGCCUACCAAGGCAACGAUCCGUAGCCGGCCUGAGAGGGCGGUCGGCCACACUGACACUGAAAUACGGGUCAG
Molecule: ribosomal RNA, 236 nt
Filed under: uncultured bacterium
Lineage: Bacteria
Description: partial 16S ribosomal RNA
Rfam family: Bacterial small subunit ribosomal RNA
Source: RNAcentral